GAUGAACGCUAGCUACAGGCUUAACACAUGCAAGUCGCAGGGUAACAUGAGGAAAGCUUGCUUUCCUUGAUGACGACUGGCGCACGGGUGAGUAACGCGUAUCCAACCUUCCCAUAACUACGGGAUAACCCGUUGAAAGACGGCCUAAUACCGUAUGACAUCGUUUGCUGACAUCAAAUAACGAUUAAAGGUUUAGCGGUUAUGGAUGGGGAUGCGUCUGAUUAGCUUGUUGGCGGGGUAACGGCCCACCAAGGCGACGAUCAGUAGGGGUUCUGAGAGGAAGGUCCCCCACAUUGGAACUGAGACACGGUCCAAACUCCUACGGGAGGCAGCAGUGAGGAAUAUUGAUCAAUGGGCGAGAGCCUGAACCAGCCAAGUAGCGUGCAGGAUGACGGCCCUAUGGGUUGUAAACUGCUUUUAUGUGGGGAUAAAGUGCGUGACGUGUCAUGCAUUGCAGGUACCACAUGAAUAAGGACCGGCUAAUUCCGUG
This 490-nucleotide ribosomal RNA is filed under the name uncultured bacterium. RNAcentral's name for it is "partial 16S ribosomal RNA". It matches the Rfam family "Bacterial small subunit ribosomal RNA", at positions 28 to 507 of the family's 1533-position model. The record is from RNAcentral.